Non-coding RNA from Canis lupus familiaris (dog), 95 nucleotides. The record is from Rfam. Lineage: Eukaryota; Metazoa; Chordata; Mammalia; Carnivora; Canidae.
AGGAGGAACAGCCCCAGUGGCGGGGCCAGCUCUGGAAACCUGGAUUCAGCUCCGGCAGGAACUCCGUCUGCAGGGCCUGGAGGCUCUGGGGCGGG